RNAcentral lists this ribosomal RNA (433 nucleotides) under uncultured bacterium. RNAcentral's name for it is "partial 16S ribosomal RNA". It matches the Rfam family "Bacterial small subunit ribosomal RNA", at positions 29 to 507 of the family's 1533-position model. The record is from RNAcentral.
AGCGAACGCUGGCGGCAGGCUUAACACAUGCAAGUCGAGCGGGCCUUUCGGGGUCAGCGGCGGACGGGUGAGUAACGCGUGGGAACGUGCCCUCUGGUUCGGAAUAACUCAGGGAAACUUGAGCUAAUACCGGAUACGCCCUUUUGGGGAAAGGCUUGCUGCCGGAGGAUCGGCCCGCGUCUGAUUAGCUAGUUGGUGAGGUAACGGCUCACCAAGGCGACGAUCAGUAGCUGGUCUGAGAGGAUGAUCAGCCACACUGGGACUGAGACACGGCCCAGACUCCUACGGGAAGCAGCGGUGGGGAAUAUUGGACAAUGGGCGCAAGCCUGAUCCAGCCAUGCCGCGUGAGUGAUGAAGGCCUUAGGGUUGUAAAGCUCUUUUAUCCGGGACGAUAAUGACGGUACCGGAGGAAUAAGCCCCGGCUAACUUCGUG